GACGAACGCUGGCGGCGUGCCUAAUACAUGCAAGUUGAGCGAUGAAGAUUGGUGCUUGCACCAAUUUGAAGAGCAGCGAACGGGUGAGUAACGCGUGGGGAAUCUGCCUUUGAGCGGGGGACAACAUUUGGAAACGAAUGCUAAUACCGCAUAACAACUUUAAACAUAAGUUUUAAGUUUGAAAGAUGCAAUUGCAUCACUCAAAGAUGAUCCCGCGUUGUAUUAGCUAGUUGGUGAGGUAAAGGCUCACCAAGGCGAUGAUACAUAGCCGACCUGAGAGGGUGAUCGGCCACAUUGGGACUGAGACACGGCCCAAACUCCUACGGGAGGCAGCAGUAGGGAAUCUUCGGCAAUGGAAGAAAGUCUGACCGAGCAACGCCGCGUGAGUGAAGAAGGUUUUCGGAUCGUAAAACUCUGUUGGUAGAGAAGAACGUUGGUGAGAGUGGAAAGCUCAUCAAGUGACGGUAACUACCCAGAAAGGGACGGCUAACUACGUG
This 497-nucleotide ribosomal RNA is filed under the name uncultured bacterium. RNAcentral's name for it is "partial 16S ribosomal RNA". It matches the Rfam family "Bacterial small subunit ribosomal RNA", at positions 28 to 507 of the family's 1533-position model. The record is from RNAcentral.